Molecule: long non-coding RNA, 204 nt
Filed under: Nicotiana benthamiana
Lineage: Eukaryota; Viridiplantae; Streptophyta; Magnoliopsida; Solanales; Solanaceae
Description: long non-coding RNA (NBEN_LNC000505)
Source: RNAcentral
GUUACAACUGACACACUACUAUUUGCUUGUAAGAGGGAAGAACAAAUGAAAAAGGAAAUGGAGAGACAGGAUCGUGAAAGAAGAAAGGAAGAACAAAGGCUGAUGCGAGAACAGCAGAGGAAGGAGGAGCGAUUUCAGCGCGAGGAAAAGCGUGAAAUGGAGAGGAGGGAGAGGUUUUUGCAGAAAGAGCUCUUGAGGGUUGGU